Molecule: ribosomal RNA, 227 nt
Filed under: uncultured bacterium
Lineage: Bacteria
Description: partial 16S ribosomal RNA
Rfam family: Bacterial small subunit ribosomal RNA
Source: RNAcentral
GAAUCAUUGGGCGUAAAGCGCACGUAGGCGGCAGCGUAAGCGGAAUGUGAAAGCCCAGGGCGCAAACCUGGAAGUGCAUCACGAACUGCGUCGCUUGAAUCUCGGAGGGGGACAGAGAAUUCCCGGUGUAGAGGUGAAAUUCGUAGAUAUCGGGAGGAAUACCAGUGGCGAAGGCGCUGUCCUGGACGAAGAUUGACGCUGAGGUGCGAAAGCGUGGGGAGCAAACA